UGGGGAAUAUUGCACAAUGGGCGCAAGCCCGAUGCAGCCAUGCCGCGGGUAUGAAGAAGGCCUUCGGGUUGUAAAGUACUUUCAGCGGGGAGGAAGGGAGUAAAGUUAAUACCUUUGCUCAUUGACGUUACCCGCAGAAGAAGCACCGGCUAACUCCGUGCCAGCAGCUGCGGCAAUACGGAGGGUGCAAGCGUGAAUCGGAAUUACUGGGCGUAAAGCGCACGCAGGCGGUUUGUUAAGUCAGAUGUGAAAUCCCCGGGCUCAACCUGGGAAGUGCAUCUGAUAAUAGCAAGCUUGAGUCUCGUAGAGGGGGGUGGAGUUCCAGGUGUAGCGGUGGAAUGCGUAGAGAUCUGGAGGAAUACCGGUGGCGAGGGCGGCCCCCUGGACGAAGGCUGACGCUCCGGUGCGAGAGCGUGGGGAGCAACCAGG
Molecule: ribosomal RNA, 429 nt
Filed under: Chloroflexota bacterium
Lineage: Bacteria; Bacillati; Chloroflexota
Description: Chloroflexi bacterium partial 16S ribosomal RNA
Rfam family: Bacterial small subunit ribosomal RNA
Source: RNAcentral